UUAAUGAGUUGUGAUAGGGGUUUGACGCUGGCAGCCAAUUCUUUUUGGAUGCAUGUGCUCGCCCUAACAAUCAUUUUCCAAACACCUGUGCACACUUUUGAGGGAGUUUUGAGUUGAUUGCCACUGGCAAUUUUCUUGCAUUCCCUUUAACUCCAUUAUACACUACUUAUGAUACUGAACGUGUUUGUGCCGCGCAAGGCCAUUAAUAUAAUACAACUUUUAACAACGGAUCUCUUGGCUCUCGCAUCGAUGAAGAACGCAGCGAAAUGCGAUAAGUAAUGUGAAUUGCAGAAUUCAGUGAAUCAUCGAAUCUUUGAACGCACCUUGCGCUCCCUGGUAUUCCGGGGAGCACGCCUGUUCGAGUGUCACGAAAUUUCUCAAGCUUGGAUAGCUUUUUGCCUGUCCAUUAGCCUUGGUUGUUGGGCUUUGCCGUAUCCUUCAUUAGGGAUGGCUGGCCUCAAAAGCAUGAGCUUGAUCCUUCGGUGGUGCUGGUUCUACUCAGCGUGAUAAUCGAUCUGAUCGCUGAGGACAUCUUUUGGGAUGGCCAGUCCUCGUUUGGGUUGCUUCCAAAUCUGGUUUUUGCAGAUUCUUGGAUCUGUAUAUUCCACUUUUUCAGCUUUGACCUCGAAUCAGGUGGGACUACCCGCUGAACUUAAGCAUAUCAU
RNAcentral lists this ribosomal RNA (665 nucleotides) under uncultured Clavulinaceae. RNAcentral's name for it is "eukaryotic LSU rRNA". The stretch from base 215 to 368 matches the Rfam family "5.8S ribosomal RNA". Lineage: Eukaryota; Fungi; Basidiomycota; Agaricomycetes; Cantharellales; Hydnaceae. The record is from RNAcentral.